GAUCAAAUGAAGUGUAGACUUAGCAAACAUUGAUUUUGACUAAAACUGACUGAUUUUGGCCAAGGAUUUGACUAAAGCUUUUUCCUCCCCCUCAAACCCACGUCCAACCAUUACCUAUGAAUUUUCUGAGGUGGGAGUAAUCCAACAUCAUCCUCCACGUUGUGGAUCAAAAUAGCAAACUCGGCUACAACAUAUGGCUAAGGCCAGCAACCAAAACUACACCACCAAUCUUUCUGCAUUUAUUUUCCUUUUGAAAUCAAUGAGCAAAUCUAUGAAAAAGAAAAAACAUUGUAAUCAAAAUCAUGAUGCUGUUGUUAAUUAAACCAGGGAAAUAAAUUU
This 339-nucleotide long non-coding RNA is filed under the name Gossypium barbadense (sea-island cotton). RNAcentral's name for it is "long non-coding RNA (GBAR_LNC001866)". The record is from RNAcentral. Lineage: Eukaryota; Viridiplantae; Streptophyta; Magnoliopsida; Malvales; Malvaceae.